CCAAGGAGUCUAACAUGUGCGCGAGUCAUUGGGUCUUGCUCAGGCCCAAAGGCGCAAUGAAAGUGAAGGCCGGCCCGGUCGGCUGCGUUGGGAUCCCGCAAACUUUUUGCGGGCGCACCAACGGCCCGUCCCGAUCGCCGCGUCGACGGGGCGGAGUGAGAGCGUACACGUUGGGACCCGAAAGAUGGUGAACUAUGCCUGGGCAGGACGAAGCCAGAGGAAACUCUGGUGGAGGUCCGCAGCGAUUCUGACGUGCAAAUCGAUCGUCAGACCUGGGUAUAGGGGCGAAAGACUAAUCGAACCAUCUA
RNAcentral lists this ribosomal RNA (308 nucleotides) under Stylocellus sp. Borneo 14. RNAcentral describes it as "eukaryotic LSU rRNA". It matches the Rfam family "Eukaryotic large subunit ribosomal RNA", at positions 666 to 946 of the family's 3401-position model. The record is from RNAcentral. Lineage: Eukaryota; Metazoa; Arthropoda; Arachnida; Opiliones; Stylocellidae.